This 253-nucleotide ribosomal RNA is filed under the name uncultured bacterium. Its description in RNAcentral is "partial 16S ribosomal RNA". It matches the Rfam family "Bacterial small subunit ribosomal RNA", at positions 524 to 776 of the family's 1533-position model. The record is from RNAcentral.
UACGUAGGGGGCUAGCGUUGUCCGGAAUCAUUGGGCGUAAAGAGCGCGUAGGCGGCUGGAAUAGUCCGGUGUGAAAUCCACAGGCUUAACCUGUGAAUGCCGCUGGAAACUGUCUGGCUAGAGUCCGGAAGGGGCGAGUGGAAUUCCUGGUGUAGCGGUGAAAUGCGCAGAUAUCAGGAGGAACACCAAUGGCGAAGGCAGCUCGCUGGGACGGUACUGACGCUGAGGCGCGAAAGCGUGGGGAGCGAACAGG